This 558-nucleotide long non-coding RNA is filed under the name Solanum lycopersicum (tomato). RNAcentral describes it as "partial TCONS_00147689". The record is from RNAcentral. Lineage: Eukaryota; Viridiplantae; Streptophyta; Magnoliopsida; Solanales; Solanaceae.
AGGAGAUCAAAAUUCUCUCUCUUUUAGAAUCUAAACUUAAAAGUGAGCUUCUCUUUCGGUCGUCACCGGCCAGAUCCUUUAUCGUAGCUGGUCAUAGACUCCAUGGUCGAUAGCCAUAUCCUUUAUCUUUUCAGGCAUACCUGGUCAUUCUCUGAGUUGUAGCCAUGGUUACGGAUUUUGAGCAUAUGUGUAUCAGCACAAUCACAACCUCUCUGAUGAGUGAAAUCUAGUUAUGAUGUAACGACUUUGGAAGGACAUACAUCUAAGGUUUGACCGCAUCAUUAUAAAUUUCUCCUAAUCUGACAAAAUUUCUUUAUAGCAAAAAUGAUAAAUAUCAUACCUUUUUUGUAUUCUAUAUUAACAUUACAUUUUUUUUGUUUUUCCGGGUUUUUGAUUGUGCUUGGAGUCCAAAAGGGUCUUUUCUUGCAAUUGGGUAAGCAUUACUCCCAGUUUUUCAUUUUAUUGAUCUCGACUAUGUGUACUCAUGUUCAUAUCCCUACUUUUGUUUCUAAUUAUCUUGUAAUUUAUUAACCUUGGAAAUGACAAUCUUUAUAACCG